AAAGAAAAAAGGAAAAAAAAAAAUGAAAACAUAUUAAAC
Molecule: small RNA, 39 nt
Filed under: Arabidopsis thaliana (thale cress)
Lineage: Eukaryota; Viridiplantae; Streptophyta; Magnoliopsida; Brassicales; Brassicaceae
Description: ATSL285060
Source: RNAcentral